GGAUGAACGCUGGCGGCGUGCUUAACACAUGCAAGUCGAACGGUGAAGCAGAGCUUGCUCUGUGGAUCAGUGGCGAACGGGUGAGUAACACGUGAGCAAUCUGCCCCUGACUCUGGGAUAAGCGCUGGAAACGGCGUCUAAUACCGGAUACGAGCUGCGACCGCAUGGUCGGCAGUUGGAAAGAAUUUCGGUCAGGGAUGAGCUCGCGGCCUAUCAGCUUGUUGGUGAGGUAAUGGCUCACCAAGGCGUCGACGGGUAGCCGGCCUGAGAGGGUGACCGGCCACACUGGGACUGAGACACGGCCCAGACUCCUACGGGAGGCAGCAGUGGGGAAUAUUGCACAAUGGGCGAAAGCCUGAUGCAGCAACGCCGCGUGAGGGAUGACGGCCUUCGGGUUGUAAACCUCUUUUAGCAGGGAAGAAGCGAAAGUGACGGUACCUGCAGAAAAAGCGCCGGCUAACUACGUGCCAGCAGCCGCGGUAAUACGUAGGGCGCAAGCGUUAUCCGGAAUUAUUGGGCGUAAAGAGCUCGUAGGCGGUCUGUCGCGUCUGCUGUGAAAACCCGAGGCUCAACCUCGGGCCUGCAGUGGGUACGGGCAGACUAGAGUGCGGUAGGGGAGAUUGGAAUUCCUGGUGUAGCGGUGGAAUGCGCAGAUAUCAGGAGGAACACCGAUGGCGAAGGCAGAUCUCUGGGCCGUAACUGACGCUGAGGAGCGAAAGGGUGGGGAGCAAACAGGCUUAGAUACCCUGGUAGUCCACCCCGU
RNAcentral lists this ribosomal RNA (763 nucleotides) under Microbacterium sp. RNAcentral's name for it is "bacterial SSU rRNA". It matches the Rfam family "Bacterial small subunit ribosomal RNA", at positions 27 to 803 of the family's 1533-position model. Lineage: Bacteria; Bacillati; Actinomycetota; Actinomycetes; Micrococcales; Microbacteriaceae. The record is from RNAcentral.